GCCCGAGUAGCUCAGUUUGGAUUAGAGCGAUGCCCUCCUAAGGCAUAGGUCGCAGGUUCAAGUCCUGUCUCGGGCA
RNAcentral lists this transfer RNA (76 nucleotides) under Nanobdellota archaeon. RNAcentral's name for it is "tRNA-Arg". It matches the Rfam family "tRNA". Rfam says of the family: Transfer RNA (tRNA) molecules are approximately 80 nucleotides in length. The record is from RNAcentral. Lineage: Archaea; Nanobdellati; Nanobdellota.